GUACUUGCAAUCUAGUGCCUUGGCUUAACUAUCAAUUAUUAGCAUUUCUUGUUACUAAUUGAAUUCGGCCUGCAACUUAUGUUGCUUUUUGUAUUGAAUAUCUAAAUUUUAAUCUUAAACAAGAACUGAUCUAAUCUGAUUUAGCAACUGAAAAAAGUCAAAUUGACUCAUAGGAGAAGUGCACAAAUUAAGACAGAGAGUACAUUUUAUAGAAUUCUGCUCCUAAUUUACUAGUGAUGGAAGACAUAUUUAAGACCACAAAUUUUAAGGGUAUUCUUGAUAUGCAACAAAAGUGUUUUUCUUUAUAAAACAUAGUGUCUAUUCAAAUAUUGCCGUUUAAAAAGUACGAUGAAAUAGUUCAAGUCUUUUUCUAGUUACUAGCCUGUGGAAAAAAGUGGUGAAUUAUGCGUAAUAUUGAAGGUCUGAAGUGAAAAAUUGACCUUGAUGUUUGUUUGCUUUAUUGAUAGACAGGGGAUCCUCUGUAUGUGCUACUAUGCUGUUGGUUAGCUGCAGUGGGAGCUGGUUUACUCAAAUCUGAGGAGAUUUUGGAGGGUGUAGCAAGGCUUAGUUUAGCAAAUGACAUUGAAUUUGAAGAGCAAAACUUCAUUGCAUUGAUGAAUGAAGCAAGAGAGGUUAGCAAGAUUUCAUUUGCCAACGAUUUUUAGCUUCUUUUCAUUUACAUUACACUACUUUCAACGUUUAUCAGUAAAAUACUAAAACGUUGUAUCCUUAGUUUAGCAAAUGAUAUUGAAUUUGAAGAGCAAAACUUCAUUGCAUUGAUGAAUGAAGCAAGAGAGGUUAGCAAGAUUUCAUUUGCCAAAGAUUUUUAGUUUCUUUUCAUUUACAUCACACUAUUUAGCCUACACUCACCAAGGUCCAAUAAUCAUAUAUCACACUUAUGUUUGGGCUCUCGAUAAUGGACUACUGUUAUACCAAUACACUUAAAACAUAUUACUCCACUAUAUAACAAAGUUUACAUAAAGUAAGCCAUC
RNAcentral lists this long non-coding RNA (992 nucleotides) under Nicotiana benthamiana. RNAcentral's name for it is "long non-coding RNA (NBEN_LNC025580)". The record is from RNAcentral. Lineage: Eukaryota; Viridiplantae; Streptophyta; Magnoliopsida; Solanales; Solanaceae.